GAUGAAGAACGUAGCGAAAUGCGAAAAGUAGUGUGAAUUGCAGAAUUCAGUGAAUCAUCGAAUCUUUGAACGCACAUUGCGCCCCUUGGUAUUCCAUGGGGCAUGCCUGUUCGAGCGUCAUUUUGUACCCUCAAGCACUGCUUGGUGUUGGGCGUUUGUCCUGCAGAGGACUCGCCUGAAAGCGAUUGGCGGCCAACGUAGACGUGGCAGAGCGCAGCACAAUCUCGCGUCUCUCCCCUCUGCGUCGGCGUCCAUGAAGCCCACAAUCUCAACGUUUGACCUCGGAUCAGGUAGGGAUACCCGCUGAACUUAAGCAUAUCAAUAAGCGGAGGA
This 333-nucleotide unclassified non-coding RNA is filed under the name soil metagenome. RNAcentral's name for it is "partial contains 5.8S ribosomal RNA, internal transcribed spacer 2, and large subunit ribosomal RNA". The stretch from base 1 to 120 matches the Rfam family "5.8S ribosomal RNA", at positions 35 to 154 of the family's 154-position model. The record is from RNAcentral.